RNAcentral lists this ribosomal RNA (275 nucleotides) under uncultured bacterium. RNAcentral's name for it is "partial 16S ribosomal RNA". It matches the Rfam family "Bacterial small subunit ribosomal RNA", at positions 399 to 691 of the family's 1533-position model. The record is from RNAcentral.
GCGUGAGUGAUGAAGGCCCUAGGGUUGUAAAGCUCUUUCGCUAGAGAAGAUAAUGACGGUAUCUAGUAAAGAAGCCCCGGCUAACUUCGUGCCAGCAGCCGCGGUAAUACGAAGGGGGCUAGCGUUGUUCGGAUUUACUGGGCGUAAAGCGCACGUAGGCGGAUUGGUCAGUUAGGGGUGAAAUCCCAGAGCUCAACUCUGGAACUGCCUUUAAUACUGCCAGUCUAGAGUCCGGAAGAGGUAAGUGGAAUUCCAAGUGUAGAGGUGGAAUUCGU